Molecule: non-coding RNA, 118 nt
Organism: Akkermansia sp. KLE1798
Lineage: Bacteria; Pseudomonadati; Verrucomicrobiota; Verrucomicrobiia; Verrucomicrobiales; Akkermansiaceae
Source: Rfam
CAAGUUCGGCAGGGGUGCCACAGACAAAGGCUGAGAUUGCGGCAGCAUGCUGUUUCCGCAGGACCCUUCAAACCUGAUGCGGGUAAUUCCGCCGCAGGGAGUUCGAUCAAGCGGGCCG